Molecule: long non-coding RNA, 983 nt
Filed under: Carica papaya (papaya)
Lineage: Eukaryota; Viridiplantae; Streptophyta; Magnoliopsida; Brassicales; Caricaceae
Description: long non-coding RNA (CPAP_LNC015473)
Source: RNAcentral
AGAUAAAUAAUUUCCGAAGCUUCUUGCAGGUUGUUAUAGCCAUUAAGCAGUGUGUAAGUGCAAGGUUUCGAAUGAAAGCUGAGCAUCUAUUAUUCAGAACUUGUGCUUUAUGAUACUAAUAUUUUUUUAUAUCGAAAUCUAAAAUCAAUCAUCAAAAUUUCAAAACAUUGAUUUAAUGUGGGAUUUCGAGGGAUGAUAUGAUCAAAUUAUAUUUAUAAGUGAUUACAAAUGAAUUGAUGAUUUCUUCAUCACUUCCUUUCAUGGUCUUCCUACUGAAUGAUGCCAUUGUCUCCUUUUCUUCUUCGUGAACGCAACAUAUGUAUACAUACAUGUACAUAUGUACGUAAUGGAGAGACAAGUGUACGUAUGGAAAAGGGGCAAAGGCAAAAAUUAGUAACUAUAUAUAUAUAUAUAUAUAGUAUUAUCUUUUUUUUGUGACUAGAAUUUAUCGAUUCAAAAUGUAGCAUCCUUGUUCAAUUUUUUUUUCCCACAUUAUAUAGUUGAAUAAUAAUGUAAUGGAAUUAUGUUCUAAAAUUAUUUAUUUAUUUUUUGGUUGUUUCUUUUUUUAUUUUAUUAAGUUUGUGAAUUGACUCAUUUUAUGUAUUUUUUUAUAUAUUUUUAUUAAGAAAUUGUAUUAUAAUUAUUAUAUAUGCGUCACAUUAAUAUAUCCUUCUUCCACAAUUAUAGCAAUUUCAUCGAUCACGUACUGCUUAAAAUUUCAUCUAUUUUUGUUGAUGUAUAACACUUCCUCUUUAUCCUUUAAUGAAACUUCUCCCAUUUGCUUAGCCAAGGCUUCUUUGACCAACAAACAAUUCUCAAAACUUAAUAAAUGAUGGUUAAUUUUGUCAUUCCUGUGCUAUAGCGACAAAGCCGAUAUAUUUGGGUAUCAAAUCAUAGAUAAUUAUUCUCUUUAUCAUAAUUUUUCUAAUUAGAGAUUGUGGAUUCAAUUCUAAAAUUUUGUAAUAUAACAAUUUCACUUGUGG